AUGCAAGCAGGGGAGGUCCCAGCUGCGCCGGCGUGCAGCCACGAAGAUGCAUGCAGGGGAGGUUCCAGGCCGCGACGGCGUUCAUUCUCCGGCCGGAUCACGCCGGAUUCCGGCGGGAAUGGUUCGAGGGUGACCGAAUCCACGCAUGGGGUGGCGAGGCAGGCACUUGAGGCGGCGACGCGUCUCGAUGCAGAACCCAGAGAUUUGAAGAAAGAAAAGGAGCUCUAG
This 228-nucleotide ribosomal RNA is filed under the name Triticum aestivum (bread wheat). Its description in RNAcentral is "partial small subunit ribosomal RNA". Lineage: Eukaryota; Viridiplantae; Streptophyta; Magnoliopsida; Poales; Poaceae. The record is from RNAcentral.